UGACGAGUUUGAUCCUGGCUCAGAUUGAACGCUGGCGGAAUGCUUUACACAUGCAAGUCGAACGGCAGCACGAGAGCUUGCUCUUGGUGGCGAGUGGCGAACGGGUGAGUAAUAUAUCGGAACGUAUCCAAUAAUGGGGGAUAACUAAUCGAAAGGUUAGCUAAUACCGCAUACGCCCUACGGGGGAAAGCAGGGGAUCUUCGGACCUUGCGUUAAUGGAGCGGGCUGAUAUCUGAUUAGCUAGUAGGUGAGGUAAAGGCUCACCUAGGCUUCGAUCAGUAGCUGGUCUGAGAGGACGACCAGCCACACUGGAACUGAGACACGGUCCAGACUCCGUACGG
Molecule: ribosomal RNA, 341 nt
Filed under: uncultured beta proteobacterium
Lineage: Bacteria; Pseudomonadati; Pseudomonadota; Betaproteobacteria
Description: bacterial SSU rRNA
Rfam family: Bacterial small subunit ribosomal RNA
Source: RNAcentral